Molecule: ribosomal RNA, 257 nt
Filed under: Janthinobacterium sp. 344
Lineage: Bacteria; Pseudomonadati; Pseudomonadota; Betaproteobacteria; Burkholderiales; Oxalobacteraceae
Description: 23S rRNA. Bacterial LSU
Rfam family: Bacterial large subunit ribosomal RNA
Source: RNAcentral
CUGCUCCUAGUACGAGAGGACCGGAGUGGACGAACCUCUGGUGUACCGGUUGUCACGCCAGUGGCAUUGCCGGGUAGCUAAGUUCGGAAGAGAUAACCGCUGAAAGCAUCUAAGCGGGAAACUUGCCUUGAGAUGAGAUUUCCCAGAGCCUUGAGCUCUUUGAAGGGUCGUUCGAGACCAGGACGUUGAUAGGCUGGGUGUGGAAGUGCAGUAAUGCAUUAAGCUAACCAGUACUAAUUGCCCGUACGGCUUGUCCC